Molecule: ribosomal RNA, 844 nt
Filed under: uncultured bacterium
Lineage: Bacteria
Description: bacterial SSU rRNA
Rfam family: Bacterial small subunit ribosomal RNA
Source: RNAcentral
GCAAGUCGAGCGGUAAAGGCCUUUCGGGGUACACGAGCGGCGAACGGGUGAGUAACACGUGGGUGAUCUGCCCUGCACUUCGGGAUAAGCCUGGGAAACUGGGUCUAAUACCGGAUAUGACCUCCUAUCGCAUGGUGGGUGGUGGAAAGAUUUAUCGGUGCAGGAUGGGCCCGCGGCCUAUCAGCUUGUUGGUGGGGUAAUGGCCUACCAAGGCGACGACGGGUAGCCGACCUGAGAGGGUGACCGGCCACACUGGGACUGAGACACGGCCCAGACUCCUACGGGAGGCAGCAGUGGGGAAUAUUGCACAAUGGGCGAAAGCCUGAUGCAGCGACGCCGCGUGAGGGAUGACGGCCUUCGGGUUGUAAACCUCUUUCAGCAGGGACGAAGCGCAAGUGACGGUACCUGCAGAAGAAGCACCGGCUAACUACGUGCCAGCAGCCGCGGUAAUACGUAGGGUGCAAGCGUUGUCCGGAAUUACUGGGCGUAAAGAGUUCGUAGGUGGUUUGUCGCGUCGUUUGUGAAAACCAGCAGCUCAACUGCUGGCUUGCAGGCGAUACGGGCAGACUUGAGUACUGCAGGGGAGACUGGAAUUCCUGGUGUAGCGGUGAAAUGCGCAGAUAUCAGGAGGAACACCGGUGGCGAAGGCGGGUCUCUGGGCAGUAACUGACGCUGAGGAACGAAAGCGUGGGUAGCGAACAGGAUUAGAUACCCUGGUAGUCCACGCCGUAAACGGUGGGCGCUAGGUGUGGGUUCCUUCCACGGAAUCCGUGCCGUAGCUAACGCAUUAAGCGCCCCGCCUGGGGAGUACGGCCGCAAGGCUAAAACUCAAAGGAAUUGACGG